CAGCACCUCAAGUGGUCAGGAUGAUUAUUGGGCCUAAAGCAUCCGUAGCCGGCUCUGUAAGUUUCCGGUUAAAUCUGUACGCUCAACGUACAGGCUGCCGGGAAUACUGCAGAGCUAGGGAGUGGGAGAGGUAGACGGUACUCGGUAGGAAGGGGUAAAAUCCUUUGAUCUAUUGAUGACCACCUGUGGCGAAGGCGGUCUACCAGAACACGUCCGACGGUGAGGGGUGAAAGCUGGGGGAGCAAACCGGAUUAGAUACCCGAGUAGUCC
This 270-nucleotide ribosomal RNA is filed under the name uncultured archaeon. RNAcentral describes it as "partial 16S ribosomal RNA". It matches the Rfam family "Archaeal small subunit ribosomal RNA", at positions 477 to 747 of the family's 1478-position model. The record is from RNAcentral.